RNAcentral lists this long non-coding RNA (440 nucleotides) under Rosa chinensis. RNAcentral's name for it is "sRNA RchiOBHm_Chr1g0367711". Lineage: Eukaryota; Viridiplantae; Streptophyta; Magnoliopsida; Rosales; Rosaceae. The record is from RNAcentral.
GAGGGUCAAUAUUAUGUCUACUGCCCCCCACUAGACUGACACAAACCAAACAACUUUUUUCAUUUAUCGACUACUGCAAUUUAACACUACAUUUACUUUGGAAUAGCAGUUUUCAGUCCGUCAAUAAAUACAGCAGUCAUCAUUGGUCCCUAAUACAAAGUCUACUGGGGGGCACUAAUGUAACAAAUUUUAUGGUUAUGACUGCACAAUAGCAUAUAGCAGUUUUCAGUCCCAUAUAACAGACUUCAGUCCGUCGUUGAUUCCUUCAGAAGGCCAACCCCGGCCUCGCCGAGCUUCUAAGCGACGAGGACCGUUGGCUUGGCGUCGAGCCUGGCCGCGGAGAGCACGACGACGAGUUUCGGCGCCGCGAUGGCGAGAGCAGGCGUCGUGGGCGAUCUGCUGGAGGGAUGGAGGGAGGGAGAGAGAAAUCCGACGUCGUC